Hylaeus volcanicus is the source of this 1071-nucleotide long non-coding RNA. RefSeq lists it as uncharacterized. The transcript is spliced from 4 exons. The record is from RefSeq and is a predicted model, not a curated record. NCBI's taxonomy places the organism in Eukaryota, Metazoa, Arthropoda, Insecta, Hymenoptera, Colletidae.
AUAGUCUUGUUUCAUUGCUACAUGAUUGCGUUAUUGAGUUUAUUAUAUUAUCUUCAAUACUUUUUAACUUCUCAUCAUCCUUCUUGGUUUCUAGUGGGAUUGAAGCUUGCAUAUCUUCUGCAUGUGUGAAUUCUGUUUCAGGUUUACAUCUUCUUUUACCUUUGAUGAAGAUACUUCUGAGUGCACACUUUUUACUUCAGAUUCAUCCUCAUUCUGGUAUAGUUCCAACUUCAAAUGUAUUUAAUGGAAGAAAACUAGGAGCUGCUUCCAAUCUAUCCAACAUCAUAUCUAAAUCUGCAGUGCUGCUUUCAGUUUGGAUCCAAAAUUCAUCUGGUGAAUUAGUACAACUAAUAUAUACAUUCGGUGAAUUUUCUUCGCCUAAAGGAGGCAGUCGUUCUUCAAUGAUAGGUGGGCAACGUUCACAGAAGUUUGCAAUGUUGCAUCAGUAUCAGAAGAUGGCGUAACACCUAAAAGGGAACAUUCUAUUGCCUGGUUCUGCAUAACUGAAAGUUCUCCUGGUAAAGCUAAGACCUGAAUUAACAGAAUAUGGCAUUAACAAUAAUUGAGGAUAAUCCUACGCGAGUUUUAAUAAACAAAAAUGUAAAAAAGCAAAUAAUAUGUUUUUAUUGUAAUAAACACGUAUAGUGUUUAGGCUCAUGUCCUUAUAUUUAAGCGUGUAUAAGCAUUUUCUGCUUAAUAAUAAUAUACAGGAUGGUCCACGCAAGUUACACACCUCGAUUAACUCCUAAAAUAUGUAUUGUAUCAUUCACGCCAUCAAAAAAAUUAUUCAUAUAAUACAUACUUUAGAAGUUAAUCGUGGUAUGCGAGUUGUAUGGGCCACUGUGUAUAAAGCAAUGCAGUAUUAAAUUAAAAAUGUAUACAUAAUACGUUAGAUAUUAAUAGCCUUAACGAGAUUCUUAUGAAAUUUAUUCUACUAUAAAUAUAUAAUUUGCCAAAAUUUCAAUGCAGCAAGUAUGGUAUUAAAUAACUCCUACACCUAGCAGUAAUGUUAUAUUACCUAUAGUUAAAUUGAAUUUAGCAUGUACAUUCAUGUUGGUUUUUUUUUUAAAA